This 493-nucleotide ribosomal RNA is filed under the name uncultured bacterium. RNAcentral's name for it is "partial 16S ribosomal RNA". It matches the Rfam family "Bacterial small subunit ribosomal RNA", at positions 29 to 508 of the family's 1533-position model. The record is from RNAcentral.
AGUGAACGCUGGCGGUAGGCCUAACACAUGCAAGUCGAACGGCAGCACAGUAAGAGCUUGCUCUUACGGGUGGCGAGUGGCGGACGGGUGAGGAAUACAUCGGAAUCUACUUUUUCGUGGGGGAUAACGUAGGGAAACUUACGCUAAUACCGCAUACGACCUACGGGUGAAAGCAGGGGAUCUUCGGACCUUGCGCGAUUGAAUGAGCCGAUGUCGGAUUAGCUAGUUGGCGGGGUAAAGGCCCACCAAGGCGACGAUCCGUAGCUGGUCUGAGAGGAUGAUCAGCCACACUGGAACUGAGACACGGUCCAGACUCCUACGGGAGGCAGAAGUGGGGAAUAUUGGACAAUGGGCGCAAGCCUGAUCCAGCCAUACCGCGUGGGUGAAGAAGGCCUUCGGGUUGUAAAGCCCUUUUGUUGGGAAAGAAAAGCAGCAGGUUAAUACCCCGCUGUUCUGACGGUACCCAAAGAAUAAGCACCGGCUAACUUCGUGC